GAUGAACGCUGGCGGCGUGCCUAAUACAUGCAAGUCGAGCGAACGGACGAGAAGCUUGCUUCUCUGAUGUUAGCGGCGGACGGGUGAGUAACACGUGGAUAACCUACCUAUAAGACUGGGAUAACUUCGGGAAACCAGAGCUAAUACCGGAUAAUAUUUUGAACCGCAUGGUUCAAAAGUAAAAGACGGUCUUGCUGUCACUUAUAGAUGGAUCCGCGCUGCAUUAGCUAGUUGGUAAGGUAACGGCUUACCAAGGCAACGAUGCAUAGCCGACCUGAGAGGGUGAUCGGCCACACUGGAACUGAGACACGGUCCAGACUCCUACGGGAGGCAGCAGUAGGGAAUCUUCCGCAAUGGGCGAAAGCCUGACGGAGCAACGCCGCGUGAGUGAUGAAGGUCUUCGGAUCGUAAAACUCUGUUAUUAGGGAAGAACAUAUGUGUAAGUAACUGUGCACAUCUUGACGGUACCUAAUCAGAAAGCCACGGCUAACUACGUG
This 497-nucleotide ribosomal RNA is filed under the name uncultured bacterium. Its description in RNAcentral is "partial 16S ribosomal RNA". It matches the Rfam family "Bacterial small subunit ribosomal RNA", at positions 28 to 507 of the family's 1533-position model. The record is from RNAcentral.